Lathyrus oleraceus (garden pea) is the source of this 370-nucleotide long non-coding RNA. RefSeq lists it as uncharacterized. The record is from RefSeq and is a predicted model, not a curated record. Lineage: Eukaryota; Viridiplantae; Streptophyta; Magnoliopsida; Fabales; Fabaceae. The transcript is spliced from 2 exons.
CAUACGUGAAAGGAGGCAGAAGGAACAAAAGGGAUUUUGGAAAGAGGAGCAGAGUCGGAGAGCAGUAACCUAAAAAGUUGUUGGAAUCACCAACCUUGAUGCAAAUUUAAGAGAUAUGUAGGACUUCGGUCCAGUGAUGGUCUGAUUCAGAGAGGGACUAUGACGGCCUCACAUCCAAAAAGGGACAUGGUUCAGAGCGAUAGCAGAGACAUGGGAAUAUUAGUAACAUACCUGUGAUCCCAGUGAUUUUGGUACCACAUACAUUUGAGAUGGAGAUUUGGCAUUACAUUCGCAUUAUGAGCUAUUUGAUUUUAUUUGAGUGUGAUUGAGAAUAUUAUUAUAUUCGUUAUUACUAUCCUGUUUUGUUGAA